UAAUUACCUCGUAACACUCCAACAUGUGA
This 29-nucleotide small RNA is filed under the name Bombyx mori (domestic silkworm). RNAcentral describes it as "piRNA piR-bmo-1702389". The record is from RNAcentral. Lineage: Eukaryota; Metazoa; Arthropoda; Insecta; Lepidoptera; Bombycidae.